UACCCAAUUUAUUUAAGAAUGUUACGGGUUUCUUUCGCAUAAAGUGCAUGUAGUUACAAAAGGGCCCACAGUGCGUCGCCCCUAUCGCCCCAUUACCAGGUAGCGGGAAAUUUGAACACGUCCAAUCCUAUUAUAGACUCGGAAGACCCAGGUCACGCCAUAGGCCUACUGCUAUAUAAAAUCCAGCCAAUCAGUCGAUUCUGGUUGACAUGACUAACUAGACCCACGUUCCGAAUUUCCGACCCAGACGCCAGACAGACUGACUCGGCCCUCGGGCAUACAUUAUUACAUUAAGGAUAUCAGUCUGUCUUGUUUGAGCCUUCACGAUGGAAGGACGCGACUCCAGCGUUUACCGUGAAAUUUCCUCCGUGGAAGAUUUCAGGGCUCUGAAGAAGCCCCUGUUCUCCCAUUUAUUUGAAUUUACGAAGUUGAAAGACGAAUUUCAGAAAUUCUUGUACCAGGAGGGUUUGCUGGGCGAUUUUUCGGGGCCGUGUGAGAAGUGUCCCGGGGGACAAGUGAGAUUCGGCAGUGAGGGAAAGAGCUGCAGUACCGGCCAACCAAGGUUCGCUUGGCGAUGCAACAAUCGCAGUUGCCGAAGGAAGCUCUCCACGCGACACGCCUCUCUUUUCCAAGGCUCCAUGUUGUCGGAGAGAACCAUCAUGCUGCUGGUCUAUUGUUUCGCCAACAAAAUUCCUCAGCACAUCGUGAUGAACAGCCUGAUCGACCUCGCGACCCACACGAUGGUCGAUUGGUACCGUAUUUGCCGCGAUUUGUGCUGUGAAAUCUUGCUGGCCGACAACAAGAAGAUCGGCGGUCCCGGCCAUGUGGUAGAGAUUGACGCGAGCAAAUUCGGGAAAGGAAAGGACACCAAGGUCGGCGGAUUUUGGGUGUUGGGCGGCAUCGACCGGCAGACGAACGAGACUUUCUUCAAAGUCGUUUCGGACCACUCUCCGGAAACUCUGCUCUCGGUGGUGCUGGACAACGUCCUCCCAGAGACCACAGUCAUAUCGGUUUCCUGGGAGUCUUACAUCAAUGCUCGGGAUGAUUACUUCAGCAAGUAUGCAGUUGAUCACAGCAUCAACUUCGUUAGUCCGGGCGACCAUGACGCCCACACGGACACGAUCGAGUCACAGUGGAGCAUUCUCCGGAAGAGCGUGCUGCCCAAACACGGUACGAAGAAAGACCUGUACGGCGGUUAUUUUUCCACGUACUGUGUCCAGAAACGGUACCUGGACUGUGCUCCGUGUCCAUUUUGGGCUUUUCUGGAGUUGAUCAAGCGUGUUUUCCCGCUCGAAAGCCGCCCGACUGCCCCUGCCGCCGAAUUGCUCUCCCAGCCUAAAAGGGUACGAUCGGGAAGUACCACUUUUAGGAGCAUCGCCAAACAACAGAAGUUGGAUACCGACGAAUCUGACUCUGAAUAAGAAUGUUUUUAUUGUUGCUAUAAAAAGUACAUGCACCAACCCAUCCUUCUGGUAGUUGUAUAAGCCUUGUGGGUAUUAUUGACGUUGAAGCCGAGAAAUCCACGAAGUGUUCCUUGUCUUUAGAAUGUUUUUGUUACUGUAAAAAUACUACAACCCGUCCUUUUGGUAGUUUGUAAGCCUUGUUGUGGGUAUCAUUUACGUUGAAGCCGAGAAAUCCACUCAUGUUACUGAUAAGGCUUUCUCCGGUUGUUUUUAGGGACCCCUGUGAUUAGUGAGUACGAAGAGAAUCUCUAAUUUAGCCUGUAAUCCAAGACUGCUUAAAAUUUCUGGACGCAGUUUUUUUUUCGGUUUCAGUUAUUCUGCUUUGCGGUAUCAGCUGCAGCGUAUUCUAUAAGAGCAGUCUGUAUUUGGCCCAACAUAUUUUGCUGCUUUUGUAAAAACUGUACACGUUGAAAAAUGUGUACAUUGUAAAUUAUGUUGUUUUCAAAGGAAAUUGUGUAGUUUUCCUUACUGUAAAAUGUGUAUUUAAGGUAAAUUACAGAGCUGUGAUAUGUAUAUUUUUGUUUAAGUUUAGUAAGACUAAUUUCGGUUCAAUAAACUUUUUGUCAGU
Molecule: RNA transcript, 2031 nt
Organism: Macrobrachium nipponense
Lineage: Eukaryota; Metazoa; Arthropoda; Malacostraca; Decapoda; Palaemonidae
Exons: 4
Source: RefSeq, a predicted model, not a curated record